This 12704-nucleotide long non-coding RNA is filed under the name Nicotiana benthamiana. Its description in RNAcentral is "long non-coding RNA (NBEN_LNC031199)". The record is from RNAcentral. Lineage: Eukaryota; Viridiplantae; Streptophyta; Magnoliopsida; Solanales; Solanaceae.
CCCCACCUAAAACCUUCCCCCAAAAUACUACCUCACAUAACAACUUUUCCCCAAAUAAAACUCCCCCAUAUAAAACCAAUUCCACACACUUUAUAAAACCAUUCUCUACCCAAUAAAAAAAUGGGGGACAGAAAAAAUAGACGCCGGAAAAAUUGAGAAAGAGGCGGGGGAAUUCCAAAGACAGACCCCAACCCCCAUCGCCUCUUCUCAAUCAUAAGCGACCCAGGACGGAAAUUAAAAAGAACAAAAACCUUCCUUUAUCACCAAAUCUCCAUUUUCACCCUAAACCUAGCGGUUGCAGAAAGAAAACGAAGCAGCAUGGACAUUAAGACCUAAGAGGUCAACAGCCUUUUACUUUGAUCACCGGAAAGUGGUGACACCACCAACGACGGAUCUAGCCUGCAACCCCAAACCACAGCAGCGAUUUCGUCUCAUAUACAAAAACGAAGAUAUAUUCUGCUUUUCUUCUUUCAUUUUGUUCUGACUUUCGUCUCAAAAUCAGAAGUGAUGUCCUUUGAUUUUCGUCUUGAAAUGGAGCUGAUUUGAGUUUUGUGUGGUUUCGAAAUAGGUUGUGCCGAUUCGAGAUUUUGUCAAGGUAUAUGCUCGAGAGUCCUGUCCGAUUUGAGUUCCGAUCAUUGUUGUGGUUUGGUUCCAUCCGUCUAUCUGCUGGAAUUUUAUUAACUGAAAGAAAUUUUAGGUUCAUUCUUCUACUCAUGUUUAUAUAUUUCCAUGUUAUGAAUGUGUCGUUUUGAAGCAUCUUGGACCGUUGUUGAUAGUUUUGUGCUAGCGUAUUUCUUUCCAGUUGGUCCUGUGAUAGUUCAGCUCUCUGUUAGUUUGAUUUUGAUCCUUGGUUAUAAGAUAGAAUUAGUUGUUUCUCUAAUAAAGUAGAUAGGUGUUUAAUUUCAUUCAAUCUUCCUAUUUUGUGUUUUUCAUAACUAUAAUCCUGAUAUUCUAUUGUUUGUGACAACUUUCUUGCUACUUGAGAGUAUUUUUUUAGUUAAUAGGUCAAUCUCAAGCUCGUUUAUAUGAUGAAAAGUUAAAAUCGUUUGUCUUUUCUAACGAACGAGUUAUGUUAACUUUGGAUACUGCGUUUAUGACUCAAUACAAAGUGUAGAUAUAGAACUGGAGGGUGAUAUGUGAAUAUAGGACAGACUUAGUGCGCAUACAAUUUUCAUAGAGGGAAGAUCGAGAAUGUCAAUUAGUAUGAUUGGAAAGAUGCUUUGUCAAAGGCUAUUGUGUUGUUUUCUUUUAACACCAAGGAACAAAUAAUUUUUUAUAUUCAAGUCUUGGAUUUGCAUUACUUGUUCACUGUUAUGAAGUCUAACGUGACUUUUUUUAGUUAAAUUAGCAUUGGGUAAUUUGUACCGCCUACCCAUAUAAUGAAAGUUUUCCAUCAUUCCAUUCGUGGUUUACUUUAAUUGAAUACAAUCCUUUAAAAAUUGGAAUCGAGGCGUAUUGCGUCAAACAAAUUUUUUAGUUGCAUGGCUCUCAUUUGAUUAAUCUUAUUUUGUCCUUGGAAUUCAACGUGUGCCAUUUAAUAAAUUCCAUGGCCCUCGGGAAUUUCAAACGUGUAGUUGCUUUUGGAACGUAUUUUAAAAAUUUUACCUUCCUAAAUAUGGGCGGGCAUUUUAUGCGGCCCAUAUCCAAAUCCUCAAACGUUGAAUAGAGUGUUCCUAGGAUUGCGGGUUCAUUUGAUGCGGCGUAAUCCGAAAGCAUACUUUAAACGACGUUCACUUUCUCAAAUAAAUCUAUAUUAUAAAAAGCCGGUAAAAAGUAAAAAUUGGCACAUGGGUUCUUCAUGUAAUAAAAUCAAUUAAAGUUAAAUACAUCAGUUGAGAGACCGUGCUAGAACCACGGAACCCGGAAAUUCCUAACACCUUCUCCCGGGUUUACAGAAUUCCUGAUUAGGAUUUUUGGUUUGCGUACUGUGAACACGGUCAUAUUUUUCCUCGGUUCGGGAUUCAAAUCGGUGACUUGGGACACCAUUAAUCUCCCGAGUGGCGACUCUUAAUAAUUAAUAACCGAAUCUCGUUUCGAAUGUCUUUUAAAUGGAAAAACUCCUUUACGCCCCUUUUGCGGGAGUGUACAGUGAAAAGGGAGGUGUGACAGCUUUGGCGACUCUGCUGUGGACAAGAACCCAGAACGUUUUGUUCAGGGUUCAGAAUUUGAGCUUAGAAUAAUUGUUGUAUUUGGCUUUAUCUGAUUUUGUUACAUGAUAUGUGCUUAAUGUGCUAAUUGAUUGCUUUUACCGCUUUGAUAUUAUGUGAGCUGUAUAUAAAUUGUGCUGAAACCCAUUUCCUCUCUGAGUCUUCUGAAUCGUGAAGAAGGGUGUACGGUGUACGACUUCUUUUCUGUAUAGUGUCAAAUCCCAAUUUAGAACGAGGUUUGGAUAAGUCGCAAAGCCGGGGAAGCUUCUGUAUUCUCGGUUGCUUUUACCGCUUCGAUAUUAUGUGAACUGUAUAUAAACUGUGCCGAAACCCAUCUCCUCUCUGAGUCUUCUGAAUCGUGAAGAAGGGUGUACGGUGUACGACUUCUUUUCUGUAUAGUGUCAAAUCCCAAUUUAGAACGAGGUUUGGAUAAGUCGCAAAGCCGGCGAAAGCUGUCCGCUCGGUUAAGCCAGGUCUUGAACAAACACCCACGUUUUGAACCAAGAAUAACUCAUACUCAUGUCGGAUCCCUAGUAGGAAUGCUUAUUUGCAUCAUAUGCAUUUGACUUAGGGGACUCAACACAGGGGUUGGGUCCGUCUAGGGCUAGCAACCUAAAAUGAAAAGACCAUCCUGAUGAAUCAUACUUGCUACGUACAUAUAUUUGUUGCGAACAUACAUGUUGACUGGCUUCUGAAUCUCGGCAAUGUUUGAAAAUUGAGAAAAAGAGAAAAGAGAAAAAGAGAGAAAUAACGUUAGGGAGUUAAUUUAUUAUCUUAGAAAAAUGAAUGACCAAGUGCCGUCGAAACAUUGCCAAAAUUUUGAGACAAUGAAAAAAAGAAGAAAAUAUUUUAUUUUGUUUUACUAAAAAAUAAGUAAAGGAAAAAUAGAAAAAAAAUAGUCUUUCAUUUUUUGGAAAAUUGUUUGCUGAAAAAGAAAAAAGAAAAAGAGUCUUUUAGUUUGGUAAAAAUAUAUUGUUUUAUUGUUUGUAGAAAAAGAAAAAUGGGAAAAAAGAGUCUUUCAUUGUUGGAAAAUUGUUUGCUGAAAAAGAAAAAAGAAAAAGAGUCUUUUAGUUUGGUAAAAUAGGUUGUUUUAUUAUUUGUUUAAAAAGAAAAAUGGGAAAAAAGAGUCUUUUAUUUUUGAAAAGUUGUUUUAUUGUUUGUUGAAAAUUAAAAAGAAAAAAAAGAGAGCUGUAUUCACAAUUGGCAUAUAGGAGAAGGAAUCUGUCAUUUUGUUUUUGGGUUUGUAUUUCUUUUGAUUAGAGUAUAUAGGUCGUUUGAUUUUCGAGUCUGUAUUUCAUCGUUAAGUUGGCCAGUUUUGCUGUUAUUAUGAAAAUGAAAAAUUCCAAAAAAAUAUUUUAUUGUCGUUUACCUUUUAUUUGCAAGAACUACGUAUGGUCUGAUUCAUGCGGGGUCAUGAUAAGUAGGCAAUCUCCAUAAGAUUUGACCACAACUCAAAAAAAAAGAAAAAAAAGAAGAAAAGCAAAAGAAAAGUGAAAAAUGAAAAGAAGAAAUGAAUAAAAAUGGGAAAAGAUGUUAUUGAUAAUGAGGACCGACUCAAUCCAUUCUAACAUGUUUUGUUUUCAAUUGUGAAGAAAGUUGAGGUGGUUGGUUUGUGGUAGCUCAUCCAUACAAUACAAGGUCAAAUAGCAAGGCAGUCAUGGCGGGCAAAGGUUUGAACACAGGUAUUACUAAUCCGUCUAGGGGCAUUGUUGAGUCAGAGUCAAAAUUAAAAGAAGAGGUUUUGAGGUCGAAAAGACAAAUAGUCGGAGUGCACAAAGCUUGGGCCAGCAGGUGUCCUCCGUCAUCAGUCCCCAAUGCCCAACAAUACGUUCCAGAACCAAUUUUCAAGGCCUCAAGUCCAUACCAUCACGCUCUUCAUUUUAGGUCUCCGGGUGAGACUACAAAGCUUGCUAAAACAGUGGAGCAGAAUGAGAUAUCCAGAAAGCUGGAAGGGUUUAAGAUGCCGAAGUUUAAUUUGUAUGAUGGGUGGGGAGAUCCAGUGGACCAUAUGAGGGAUUAUUGCAAUAAAAUGAGGAAUGUCGGCAACGAAGAUGAGUUGUUGAUGUCAUAUUUCAGGGAGAGCCUGACUGGGGCAGCAUUAGAAUGAAAUGAUCGUCAAUAUGUCAGGAAGUGGCACACGUUGGGCGAUAUGGCUCAAGAUUUUGUGCGACAUUUUGAGUACAAAAAAGAUAUCAUCCCAAACCAGUCCUCCCCAUAUCAGACAGAAAAGAAACCCAAGGGAAGUUUCAGGGAAUUUUGGAUCAUAUGGAACGAACAAGUUUCUCAGGAUACUCCUUCCAUUGAUAAAAAAGAUAUUUUUGAGCCACUCCAACGACAGAUACCAGUGGUCGUUCCUGCCAAGUGUCUUCAACCUCAACUCCAAUCCCAAACCUGUCCCCGAGCCUCACCUAAGCUACCUCAGCAUUAUCCUCCAAACAAAGGUCGGUCAGGUCUCCAAACACUAGGUCACUCCCACUGCGUGCGACAAGGCCCGGUGGUCGUUCUUGGUAAAUGCUUUCAGCCUCCAUACCGACCCCGUGAACGUCCCCAAAUUCCACAUAAGCCACCUCAAUACUAUCCUCCGAACAAUAUAUGGUCAUAUGUCCAACCACUAGGUCAUUCCUUCCAUCGGCAACAGAGUCCAGUGAACGUUCUUGCUUAGCCCAACGGAUAUCCUUGUAUACCAGGUGACCCACCACAAUGCUAUGUCACUGGAUCAGGUUUCCAGCCAAAUCAAGCAUUUAGGAAUGAGAGGUUGCAGAAAAAAAAAAGCCUAAAGUCCCUUAGGAGAGUCAUACGCCAAUUUGAUUCAGAGGCUAAGGAGUUCGGGCGUGUUGAAGCCUAUUCAGACAAACGUACCAAUCCAUCUUUCAAAGAAGUUGGAUUUUUACCAAAGAUGCGUAUAUUGCUCAAAUGCCCCGGGGCAUGACAUAGAAAAAUGUUGGAGGCUAAAGAAAAUAAUCCAGGAGCUUACUGACGCAGGCGACAUCGUGCUGCCAAAUUUAGAUGGAACUGACACCAAGCAAAGUCCAUUGCUUGUGCAAAAUGAGACGCACAUGGCGGAUAUGAUUUCCUUGGAAAAUUUAUUUGAAGGCCUCGGUAUUGUUGAUGCGGAACUCAGUGGCUAAGAUGUCGAGCUUUGUAAUAGGAAAGACACUUCAUCUCUUGGCCAUGUGGAGAGAAGUCUUGGUGGUUUAUUUUGUUGUCAUUUCUGUUGUCUGAGUUAUUUUCAGGGUUGUAGUCCGGAUAUUGACUUGUGAUUCAAACCCAUCUAUCCUUUUAUUUGUCUAGUUCCUUUAGUCGUCAUAUCUUAUGUAGUGUUAUCUAGGUUUUUUUUAGGAUUGUACCCCAGUUUGUGUUGCUUGUUUUGUUGUUAAACCCUUUCACCGUUUGUUUAAUACAAUUCUCAAUUUUCUGCAAUUUCUAGUCAUUCUUGUUUAGUUCUCUUUUCUUUCUACAAAUCUUUUCCUGUUGGCUCUAGUGACAUGGCAUGCAUACAUAACUCUCUGUCGGAUUUUUAAAAGCUAUGUUGGUUGGGAAGCAGUGAAACCAUUUUGAAGACGAUGAGAGCAUUUGAGGAAAUAAGAAUAGAUUUAGACAUUGUGAAAUUGUUUGACGCCCGAACCAUCUGAAACCGGGGCAAGUAAAACAUAAAAAAUCCCCACAAAAGCAAGUUGGCCAAAUUGACAGGGGGUAGGUCAUGGUAAUAAGAGUAAGAGUGUGGCCCAAUGGUAGAUUUUAUCAGACAGAUGUAGAUAGAAAAUGUUGGAAAUGGCCGUCAAUUCCGAUGCAUUCAAGAUAUAUUGUGAAUGGUUUCUGUAUUUUGAUUGUACCUGUUUGUACUUGGCAUAUUCUGAGGGUUGAAAUGACGAAGGCGUUUUGUUCUACUAUCCAAAAAAAUUUUUCCAUUAUCACCCCUUUUGAGCCGUUUUUUUAGUUUCUUUUAUACACCUCUUUUGGAAUAAAUGGCACAAUCAAAGAAACACAAGUGACGGAGAUAAGCAAAUGGAGAAAGAAUAGAAAAAAGGAAGGAAAUGAAGAAGAAGAGAAAAGGAUAAAGAAAUGAAAAAAGGAAGAAAAAAAGAAAAGAAAAGAAAAGAAAGAAAGGGAAAAAAAGAAAAGAAAGAAAAAGAGAAAUGAAGAAAGAAAAGAAAAAGCAAGAAAAAAAACAAAGAAAAUUACAGCAACGUAGUUUUUAUGGCGUGAACUACGUUUGACUUGAUCCCGAAAGGGUACGUAGGCAGCCUCUUUGAGGCCCAGUCAUACCAAAUAAAAUUUCAAAAGGUCCCCAAGCAAGAAACUGGGGCAGAAGUUGUGAUUGUUGAAAGAAAUAGGAUUCCGAAAGUUGUAGUUUUAACCCCAUCUUGAGUUGUUUUGAGCCUUUUAUACCAUUUCUUUCUAACCUAUCUAAGAGCCUACAUUACGGUCCAAAGGAAGACCUUCUUAUCAGUCUUUGAGAAAUUUCAAGUCAAGUAGGUAAGGUAAUUCAUGUCAGGGACAACACUCCGGUCCAAGCAAGAAAAAUAGAGCUAGAUUGAUGAAAACCCUCAUGGGUAUUGCAAUUCGAUGAAAGUUGAGGGAAAUAAAAUGAGAGAGCCUUAUUGGUGAAAACCUUCACAGGCACCUUGAGGCGAUGGUAAGUUGAGAGAAAAAAACAAAUGAGAGAGGUUUGACGGUGAAAACUUUUUGGGCACUACAAGCCGAAUAAGGAAUGCAAAUCAGAUAGGAUAAGCGGCGCACCGAAGCCUAGUUUCACGGUGAAAAGGUACAACAAGAGCUGAACAUCAGGUUUGAUUGGCAGAAUAUAUACAGGUGCAUGUCAUAGUCAUUAGAGUUAGCAUCCACAUUUGAUAGGUUUCUACUUUGUAGUGUCUUGUUUAGGAAUCAUCUCUUUACUGUGUCCUUCACUUCGUUCCUCUGUUUGCUUACUUCCUCUUUUUUAUUCGGUUGGUUAUAACAAGUGAGAAAUGACUUCAAAAUUUAUCACCAGCUUUCCAAUUGCACAAAUGGGGUCUGGCUAGCAUAUCAAAGUGUCCCAAGUCAAGAGAACAACAAAAGCACUGGGCUCGUAAUAAUAAUGCUUUGGGGAUCCUUGUGAAGCACAAAGGUCAGGAAAAUGCCAGUUCAUGAGUGGUGUAACAAACAGAAGAUAUAGGGUUUGAAUGAAGAAAAGAUAUGUUUGAUGACACAGAUGACGGAGAAAGUGGUUAAUCAGUGAACAUGCAAAGCAUGGAAAGGAGAAAAGGAAAGUCAUCCCAACAGGAGUACCACAACCAACCACCGCGCUUUAAACUGACAUAUUUUUUUUAUUUGAAACAGGGGCAUGGAAGUGUUAUGCUACAGGAAGAUUAUCAAAAUGGGCAGAAAAAUUUUCUGUCAUGUUGAAAAUUUUCUUGAAGUCGGGUAUUCAUCUGAAGAACAUGAAGGUCAAUACAAGUUUUUCUCAGAGAGGUAAGUAGUUUUCAGGAAAGAAACACCAGUUUUAAGAAAAAUAAUUUUUGGAGGAUUGAAACAUUGUUUUUAGGGAAAUCGUUUUGAAGGAGGACAACACCACUAUAUAAGGGAGCAGUUCUGGAGGAAGAUAAUUCAAGUUAGAGGGUAGAUAAGACAAGUUUUGGAGAAAAAUGAUUGAUAGAAAGCUUAGUCUGAUGAAUUUUUCACCUAAGAUAAAAAUCUUAGUCUGUUGAAUCUCUAACCUAAGAUAGGAAUCUUAGUCUGUUGAAUUUUUUACCGAAGAUAAAAAUCUUAGUCUGAUGAAUUCACCUAGAUAAAGACAUAAGUUGGAAAAAGGAAAGGAAAGCAUAAUUUGGAAAACAGGGGAAGACAAAAGUUGGAAAAGAGAAAAGAAGACAUAAUUUGGAAAAGAGGGGAAGGCAGAAUUCGGGAAAAAAAAGGAAAAGGAAGGCAUAAUUUGGGAAAAGAAAGGAAGACAUAGUUUGGGAAAAAGAAAGGAAGGCACAAUUUGUAAAAGAAGGAAUGGGAUGUUUGAAUUUGAAAGAUUAAGAAAGUCUGAAUUCGAAAAUUGGGCCUAGUUUGAUGAAUUAUCUCAUAGAGUCAAAAUCUCAGUCCGAUGGAUCUUCUCCUGAGAUCACGCAAAUGGACCUAGUCUGAUGAAUUAUCUCCUAGAGUCAGAAUCUUAGUCUGUUGAAACUUUCACUAAGACGAAAAUCUUGGUCUGAUGAAUUUUUCGCCUAAGAUAAAGAUAAAAAUCUUAGUCUAUUGAAUCUUUCUCCUAAAAUGAAAAUGUUAGUCUGAUGAAUUUUUCACCUAAGAUAAAGAUAAAAAUCUUAGCUGUUGAAUCUUUCUCCUAAGAUGAAAAUCUUAGUCUGAUGAAUUUUUCACCUAAGAUCUAAGAUAGAAAAGUCUUAGUCUGUUGAAUCUUUCUCCUAAGAUGAAAAUUUUAGUCUGAUGAAUUUUUCACCUAAGAUAAAUUUCAAAUUUGAAGGUAUAUUUCAGUCCUUAAAUUUUUAAAGUUGCAUUUCAGUGUUAUUACAAUUCAAGUUUUAGUUUUCAAAUUCAUAUUAGUAUCCAGUAACAAGCAUCCAGUUUUCCAAACUAGGGCAGAAAGUUUUCUUCAUUUUGUUUAUUUUUAUGAAGUCACGAGCCCGCCUGGAUAAUAGAGGAAUACAUUCAAUUUCAAAUUCAGCAGUCAGGAGCCUGGCUGAAGAACAGAAGUGUUAAAAUUCGAAUUUUAGUUUUCAAUAAAUUUCUUCGUCUUUUUGAAGUCAGGAGCCCGCCUGAAGAACAGAGGCAUACAAUUCAAGUUUCGGAAGUCAGGAACCCGCCUGUUGACAAAGUAGUUGAAGAAGGAAAAACUUCUCAAUUUACAAUUCAAAACAACAACAAUGGAUUUCACUUGGAGAACAAGGGAAGACAAUACAAAUUUCCAGGGAAAGUAGUGUCGACGGAAGACAACUCAAGUUUCAAGAGAAAGCAGUUUUGAAGGAAAAAAGUUCAAGUUUCAAGGGAAAAUGGUUCAAUGUGACGGGCAGGUUUGACCUUGAGGCACAAUAUUCGAGAUGGUAGAAAGAAUGAGUCUCAAUCCAAAAUAAAGAAUAGAUGAAAAAGAACAAAAGAAGUGAGCUCCAAAAUUCAGAAGCAGGAAAAGAUGUGAACUGCUCAAGACGUAGUGGAAGUCAUGAACACUACAUGUCCGAUCUUGAUCCAAAAGCUGAAGAAGAUUGGACAAACACCUGUGGCUAACAAGUAUCAAGAUUCAGAUCAAGGUCCGCAUGAAGCACCAACCAAGGCUCAAGAUCAAUCUUCAGAAGACUCAUAGAUAUGUAGGCAACCUUUGAAGCAAGGUUCGGUCACACAGUAUUUCAAAAAAAGCUUCCCAUGGAGUUUCAAAUGGGUAAAAUCCCUCACAGUGCUUACUUUAUCUUUGCCCGAAAACUCUUCGUGUUUGCGAUCAAAGAGGGGAAACUGUAAGCAUGUGAUUUUGGCCCUACAUGAAGAUAACUCCUAAAAAUAAUUCAAAAUAAUUAUUAUUAAUUUUUAGGAAUUCUUUUUCAUUUUUUUAGUCGCAUUUCAUGCAUUUUAAUAUUUUAAAAUCAAAUAAUAAAUACCAAAAAUACUUGGAAUUUGCAUUUAGAAUUUAAUUUUACAUUUUAGAAGUAAUUAGUAGUUGAGUUACAUUUUGUUUUAAUUUGUUUAGUUUGCAUUUAAAUAGGGAGUUUGUGUAAUUGAAAAUUUGGAAGUAUAAUUUUAAAGCCAAUUUGAGUUUUGGUUUUUAAUUUAGCAUUUAACAAAAUCAGAAAAUAAAAUACAAAAUAAAUAAAUAAAAUACAAAAACAGAGAGGAAGAUAAAAAGAAAUUAGGAGUAAAAAAUGGGAAGAAUCUUUUCCAAAAUAUUUCCUCCCAAAAUAUUUCCCCACCUAAAACCUUCCCCCAAAAUACUACGUCACAUAACACCUUCUCCCCAAAUAAAAUCCCCCAUAUAAUGCCUCAUUCCACACACUUUAUAAGAUCAUUCUCUACCCAAUAAAAAAAGGGGGGACACAAAAACUAGACGCCGGAAAAACUAAGAAAGAGGCGGGGAAAUUCCUAAUACAGACCCCACCCCCAAUCGUUUUGAUAUCCUUCCUUAGAGAGUAAAAGGCAAAAAAUUCCAUGGCCUCUUCUUAAUCAUAAACAACCCAGGACAGAAAUUAAAAAAAACAAAAGCCUUCCUUCAUCACCAAAUCUCUAUCUUCACCCUCAACCUAGCGGUUGAAGAAAGAAAACGAAGCAGCGGGGACAUUAAAACCUACGAGGACAGAAGCCUUUUCCUUUGAUCACGGGCAAGUGGUGACACCACCAACGACGAAUCUGGCCUAUAACCCCAAACCACAUCCCCGAUUCCGUCUCUUAUACAAAAACGAAGAUAUAUUCUGGUUUUCUUCUUUUAUUUUCUUCCGACUUCCGUCUCAAAAUAGAAGUGUUAUCCUUUUGAUUUUCAUCUUGAAAAUGGAGCUGAUUUGAGUUUCUGUGUGGUUUCGAAAUUGGUUAUGCCGAUUUGAGGUUCUGUUAAGGUCCAUGCUGGAGAGUCCUCUACGAUUUGAGUUCCGAUCGUGGUUGUGUUUGGUUCCAUCCGUGUAUCUGCUGGAAUUUUAUUAACCGAAAGAAAUUUCAGGUUCAUUCUUCUGCUCAUGUUUAUAUAUUUUAAUGCUAUAAAUGUGUCGUUUUGAAGCAUCUUGGCCCGUUGUUGAUAGUUUUGUGCUAGCGUAUUUCUUUCCAGUUGGUCCUGUGAUAGUUCAGCUAUCUGUUAGUUUGAUUUUGAUCCUUGGUUAUAAGAUAGAAUUAGUUGUUUCUCUAAUAAUAGUAGAUAUGUGUUUAGUUUCGGUCAAUCUUCCUAUUUUGUAUUUUGUAUCACUAUAAUCCAGAUAUUCUGUAGUUGUACCUACUGCCUUGCUACUUGAGCGUAUUUUUUAGUUAAUAGGUCAAUCUCAAGCUCGUUUGUAUCAUGAAAAGUUAAACUCGUCUGUCUUUUCUAACGAACAAGUUAUUUAACUUUGGAUAUUGUGUUUAUGACUCAAUACAAAAUGUAGAUGUAGAACUGGAGGGUGAUAUGAGAAUAUAGGACAGACUUAGUGCGCAUACAGUUUUCAUAGAGGGAAGAUCGAGAAUGUCAAUUAGUAUCAUUGGAAAGAUGCUUUGUCAAAGGCUAUUGUGUUGUUUUCUUUUAAAUAACAUUUUUUAUUCGUCUUGGAUUUGCGUUACUUGUUCAGUGUUAUCAAGUCUAACGUUACUUUUUUUAGUUGAAUUAGCAUUGGGUAAUUGGUACCAACUAGCCAUAUCUUUAGUUGAGUACAAUCCUUUAAAAAUUGGAAUCGAGGCGUGUCAUGCCAAAUAUAACGUAUUCGAUUGGUCUAUGUUUCUUUAGCAUAAUGUAACGUAUUCGUUGUGAUUUUACUAGAUUCGACGCAGGAAGAGAUCGAUUCAAGAGGAAAAGGGCAUUGCGGAUUAGCCUACGACCGGUUAUAGGUGAGUAGUCUUUAUAGAUGAUGUCCUGAGGGUUUGAUACCUCGGUUUAUCACACGAUGACGCUAUCAGGGAGUACUCGCACCCCAUGGAAGUUGUGGGGCUGUUCAUGACUGGGGAUUGACUUUGCCGAUCUCGAACAAUAAUGUCUACAUUUGCGACUGAUACGUACCCUGUAUUGAAUAUAUCUGGGCUCAUUACCAUGUUCGGGACCUUGUGCCGAUCUGUAGCAUCCUCAGAGGAUGAAUAUCUUUGUGAUAGCGUGAUUUGUAUAAUCAUUGAUCUAAGUCCUGUGUUUAAUCACUGUAUGAAAUGCUAAGUCACUUUUUUCCUGAAGUUAAAUAACUAAAUUAUAUUAUUCUUAAUAACUGGAAGCUGGGAAAUGAAUUGAAUCUGUUAUGUGACUCAUAUGCAUACUGUGGACUGAGUAUAGAUUGGGUUGCACGCCGCAAUGAUAAUAUGAGGAUAUUGCGCUUGGGCUGUAGGAGCCCUCCGGAGUCUGUACACACCCCCAGUGAGCGCCGUCAACGUUAAAUGGAUCAAGCAGUACACCGGCAGCGGGUCAUGUGCAUUGCAUUGCAUUCUUGCAUUUUACUUGACUGAUAUACUUGAUAUUGCUUUGCUGUUGGUUCAUAGUUAAGCUGUCGGACUGUUAGCUUUAGCUUUAUUUUGUGGCAUUUCAUGGAUUCUUAUCUUCAGACAUUUUAUAUACUUAUUACUCACUGAGUUGGUAGCUGUCGGACUGUUAGUUUUUAGCUUUACUUUGUGGCAUUUCGUGGAUUUCUUAACUUCAGACAUUUUAUAUGCUUAUUACUCACUGAGUUGGUAGUACUCACCCCUACUCCCUGCACCUUGUGUGCAGAUUCAGGUGCACCGGAGGUUUAGCUGAGCAUUCGUUGUCUCUAGAGUUUAUCAGAGUUGUUGAGGUAGCUGCUUGACGUUCGCAGGACCUGACUGCUCCUCCUAUUUCAGUUUUAUUUAUUUAUACUUUUCCAUAAUUGUGUAUUUUCAUACAUAUAAUUUUCAUCCAGUUUAUUUUAGAAGCUCUAGACUCGUGACCCCAGAUCUUAUGGGAGUGUAUUAUCAUAUUUCGUA